UCUCAAAUUACAAAGUUCUCUGUCUGUAUUAGGCUGUUGUCAUAUAACAGGACAAAUCUGCUGCCAGAGAUGCCUGCCUCUCUCUUUCUUCAUGAACUAUGAAGACAGUGAAUGAGCAGUUCUGAAACUAAGCUUCCUUUGAAAAUCUGCAGUAGGAACUGUAAAGUGUACUGUAAAUGCCACCCCUUUUCAGGUAGUGCUUCUGAUGAAAAAAAAAAAAAAAAAAAAAAAAGUAUUUCUUGAAAGAAAGGAAGGAAAUGCUCCCUACAGCUCUAAGGAGCCAGACCCCUGUGAUUCAUGAUGUUACUUCAGUAGUAGACCAUUUCACUUCAUUUCACUUCUCCAGCUUUUGAUAGGCUUCAAUGCAUUGUCUCCUGAUGUUCCUGAAAGUAUGAAGUAUUUUCUGCUAUUUCAAGGUGUUCUCUAGCCUGUCUGCUACAAUAUGAAGAAGGACUCAGUGGCAGCAUUGAAUAAUUAUUUACAGAAGAGACUGGCAAAUAAUUGUGGAACAGAGAUGCAUAAAGAAACCUUUCUAAAGGGAGCAGUGGAUCUGUUCUUAAGACUGAUGACAAUUUCCUGGCUCUCCAUGGUAUUACUCCUGUCUAAAACACUAUUCUGUAUGUCAUUUCCUACUGCAUGUUUUUCUUUACCUCAAGUCUACUCUUCCCUAGUUUUCUCAUGUAAUAAAGCAC
This 692-nucleotide long non-coding RNA is filed under the name Gallus gallus (chicken). RNAcentral describes it as "lncRNA (ENSGALG00010014947.1)". The record is from RNAcentral. Lineage: Eukaryota; Metazoa; Chordata; Aves; Galliformes; Phasianidae.